This is a long non-coding RNA of Zonotrichia albicollis (white-throated sparrow), 2166 nucleotides long. RefSeq lists it as uncharacterized. NCBI's taxonomy places the organism in Eukaryota, Metazoa, Chordata, Aves, Passeriformes, Passerellidae. The record is from RefSeq and is a predicted model, not a curated record.
CCCGGGGCAGACGGGCUCCGGCCUCAGAGGAGAGAGGCUGAUGAAACGCUGUCAAAGUCAAUCCCGGCUCACUUUUUGGAUGGUUUAAUUCCAAUGGAGCAUGAAUCACCCCAGGACGGUUAAUAAGUUUAGCCAGGCGUGCUGUUCUCCCUAACAAUACAUUAUAAUUAUGCAUCUGUUUUAAAUGCGAUCGGAUUAAGUCACCGGAAAAGGCACAAAUCGGCAUUUCCCCCGACUAAGAACGGCGCCUUUCCGCAGCUCCGGCGGGCAGGUACGGCCAGGAGAGGAGCAGGUGGGCAGCCCCAGCCAGCCCGGCGGCGCUCCACUCCCCGCGGCCGCCCAGCGCACGGCAACUUACCGCGGGCACUCGGUGCCGGCGGAGCGGGGGAACCGGACGGGAGGCGGCCGGGCACCCCGCUGACACCGAGCGUGAGGGACCAGCCCAGGACAUGCCAACUUGCAUCGCCGGGUCCCCUCCCGCUGCGUGGGGCCGGAGAGGAUCGAGUCCGAGCCGUCAAAGCUCCGGGACCCUCCGGCGCCGCUCCGGGCACCAGGAGCGGGACGGCCGAAGCUCUGCUCCCGACAGACACCAAUUCUCAAUAUGCUUCUGGAGCUGCUGCCAAGAUCCCAGUCAUCACGACUUCGUCCUCCUUGCUGCAGUGGAAUUGCUGAAUUCACACACUUGAAAGAAAGGGCAGCCUUCCUCCCAAUGGCAAGAGCUGUCUCCAGUGGAGAUAACCUGCUUUGUAAAAAGAUACGGAUGGCAACAUGUGCAUGCAGCACCCCCCUGUCAGCUCUGGGACUCCACAAGCCAGGGACACGCCAGGGGCAGCAGCCAGAAAGAGCCAGCGCAGAAACCUGGAGACAAAUUGAACAAAAAAAUUAUUGAUGCUGUUAAACAACACCACAAAAGAAAACAAGAGAGUAGAAAUCAAAUAAUGAUAAAAGAAUUCCUUCUCUUCUUAGAGUUAGUUAAAAGUAUUAGGUGCAUGUAGUUAUGAACAACAUGAUAUUUUACUUUAUCAUUGAGAGAUACCAGACAACAUUCUGACUCACAGCAGAUUUACAAUGUGAUGUACAGGAACCACAAGGUGUCAGAAGAGCUAAUUUAGAAGUUCAGAUCUGUCACUAAGCAAAUAUUUUGAAAGCAGUCUUCACCUCCAGAAAGUCACAGACUGUGGUGCCAGGGAAGAGGGAAGAGGUGUAGGAUUGUAAUAACACAAAAUAAUAACAGUAAUUGUAAAGAUAACUAGAGUUACUUGGUCUAACAGCUGUUCUACUGUGUAGAGCCUAGCAGACAAAUUCACUUUGUUUUUCUUUAUUGCAAAUAUGACAAUCAAAGUUAUCUGUUUCAAUACCAGUUGGGAAAUUUCUUCAUUAAAGACAUUAUGGACUCUGAGUCACCGUGCUACAAGACAUUCCACCUAAACGGUGCCUGAAAGAUUAAGUUGUGGCACAGCAUGUAGAAAUACAUGUCUGUCACAGUGACAGAUUUGGUUAACUGGUCACUGAGUAUGAGACCUUAAAUGUCAGGGUAAUGCAUGUGGCACAGAUCCCUCAACAGAUUAGAUUAGACACCUCAAUUUCUAUACACUGGGUUCAUUUGCUGGAGCUUGUAAAAAAUAUUUGUGCCAACUUCCUUAAAGCAUCUGAGAAGAAAAAGGCUAACCCCUUGAAAGCUGCUGGGGUUUUUGAUUAGAAUUAGGCAACUGGAUAUUAAAUGUUACUAUAGGAAUAAUUGGAUAAUAAGUGGAUUUUUUUUUUGCCAGUUCUUAUGCUCAGUUACUAUCAAAGAAAUGUCAUAACAUACUGUGCCUAAUCUUGAACAAUCCAAAUGACACCCAAAGAUGUGGCUUAAUGAACCUCAGAAAUGUAAACUUUGGUCCAUUUUGAAACACCCAUGCAGUCAAGAAUAAACUGGUGUUAUCUAAGGAAGGAAAAAUAUUUUAUUUGAUCAAAAAUGCAGAAAAAGGAGUAGAGGAGAAUGCUUUAGCCAAGUGCUGCUUUCACAAUUAGUCACUAAUCCAUAGAGGUAAUGUUGUUGGAUUCUGUGGACUAGGAUCCAAGCUGUUGUUUUCCUUUCAUGCUAACAAGAUCAUGUUAAUCUUCAAAGACACCAGUGUUUCUGCUUUCUCUAAGAAAUUCCUUUUUGGUUUUUUUUUUUUU